UAGGGAAUCUUCGGCAAUGGGGGGAACCCUGACCGAGCAACGCCGCGUGAGUGAAGAAGGUUUUCGGCUCGUAAAGCUCUGUUGUUAAGGAAGAACGAGUGUGAGAAUGGAAAGUUCAUACUGUGACGGUACUUAACCAGAAAGGGACGGCUAACUACGUGCCAGCAGCCGCGGUAAUACGUAGGUCCCGAGCGUUGUCCGGAUUUAUUGGGCGUAAAGCGAGCGCAGGCGGUUAGAUAAGUCUGAAGUUAAAGGCAGUGGCUCAACCAUUGUAGGCUUUGGAAACUGUUUAACUUGAGUGCAGAAGGGGAGAGUGGAAUUCCAUGUGUAGCGGUGAAAUGCGUAGAUAUAUGGAGGAACACCGGUGGCGAAAGCGGCUCUCUGGUCUGUAACUGACGCUGAGGCUCGAAAGCGUGGGGGGCGAACAGG
RNAcentral lists this ribosomal RNA (429 nucleotides) under Bacteroidota bacterium. RNAcentral describes it as "Bacteroidetes bacterium partial 16S ribosomal RNA". It matches the Rfam family "Bacterial small subunit ribosomal RNA", at positions 355 to 776 of the family's 1533-position model. The record is from RNAcentral. Lineage: Bacteria; Pseudomonadati; Bacteroidota.